AGAGUUUGAUCCUGGCUCAGAGCGAACGUUAGCGGCGCGCCUAACACAUGCAAGUCGAGCGAGAAAGGGAGCAAUCCUGAGUAGAGCGGCGCACGGGUGCGUAACACGUAGAUAAUCUGCCCUUUGGCGGGGGAUAACGUUCCGAAAGGAGCGCUAAUACCGCAUACAGCGCGAGAUGGUUCGCCAUUUUGCGGCAAAGGUUGGGACCCGCAAGGGCCAAUCGCCAAAGGAGGAGUCUGCGGCCCAUCAGCUAGUUGGCAAGGUAAUGGCUUACCAAGGCAAAGACGGGUAGCUGGUCUGAGAGGAUGAUCAGCCACACUGGUACUGGAACACGGACCAGACUCCUACGGGAGGCAGCAGUGGGGAAUCUUGGUCAAUGGGCGCAAGCCUGAACCAGCGACGCCGCGUGAGUGAUGAAGGCCUUCGGGUUGUAAAGCUCUGUGGGGAGGGACGAAAGAGCUCAGUCGAAUAGGCUGAGCAGUUGACGGUACCUCCUUAGCAAGCACCGGCUAACUCUGUGCCAGCAGCCGCGGUAAGACAGAGGGUGCAAACGUUGCUCGGAAUUACUGGGCGUAAAGCGCGUGUAGGCGGGCUUGCAAGUCAGAUGUGAAAUCCCCGGGCUCAACCCGGGAACUGCAUUUGAAACUGCAAGCCUUGAGUAUCGGAGAGGAAAGCGGAAUUCCUGGUGUAGAGGUGAAAUUCGUAGAUAUCAGGAGGAACACCGGUGGCGAAGGCGGCUUUCUGGACGAUAACUGACGCUGAGACGCGAAAGCGUGGGGAGCAAACAGGAUUAGAUACCCUGGUAGUCCACGCUGUAAACGAUGAACACUAGGUGUCGUGGGUAUUGACCCCCGCGGUGCCGUAGCUAACGCAUUAAGUGUUCCGCCUGGGAAGUACGGUCGCAAGACUAAAACUCAAAGGAAUUGACGGGGGCCCGCACAAGCGGUGGAGCAUGUGGUUUAAUUCGACGCAACGCGAAGAACCUUACCAAGGCUUGACAUGUAUCUGCAUAUCCUGUGAAAGCAGGGUAGCCUUCGAGGGUGAUACACAGGUGCUGCAUGGCUGUCGUCAGUUCGUGCCGUGAGGUGUUGGGUUAAGUCCCGCAACGAACGCAACCCCUGUGCUCAUUUGCCACCGCCGGUGAUGAAUCGGCGAGCACUAUGAGCAGACUGCCCGUACAAGCGGGAGGAAGGUGGGGAUGACGUCAAGUCAGUAUGGCCUUUAUGCCUUGGGCUGCACACGUGCUACAAUGACCGGUACAGAGGGAAGCAAUACCGCGAGGUGGAGCUAAUCCCAAAAACCGGCCUCAGUUCAGAUUGUAGGCUGCAACUCGCCUACAUGAAGCCGGAUUCGCUAGUAACGGCGCAUCAGCUACGGCGCCGUGAAUACGUUCCCGGGCCUUGUACACACCGCCCGUCACAUCAUGAAAGCCGUCUGCACCCGAAGUUACUGUACCAACCCGCAAGGGAGGGAUGUACCUAAGGUGUGGGUGGUGAUUC
This 1499-nucleotide ribosomal RNA is filed under the name metagenome. RNAcentral describes it as "bacterial SSU rRNA". It matches the Rfam family "Bacterial small subunit ribosomal RNA". The record is from RNAcentral.